RNAcentral lists this ribosomal RNA (519 nucleotides) under uncultured Planctomycetota bacterium. RNAcentral describes it as "bacterial SSU rRNA". It matches the Rfam family "Bacterial small subunit ribosomal RNA", at positions 424 to 937 of the family's 1533-position model. Lineage: Bacteria; Pseudomonadati; Planctomycetota. The record is from RNAcentral.
UGUAAACCACUGUCGUAGAGGAGGAAAUCAUCGGGGGUUCUCCCCCGGAGUUGACCUAUUCUAGGAGGAAGGACGGGCUAAGUACGUGCCAGCAGCCGCGGUAAUACGUACCGUCCUAACGUUAUUCGGAAUUACUGGGCUUAAAGGGUACAUAGGCGGCCCUGUCAGUCGGGUGUGAAAUACCUCGGCUCAACCGAGGAACUGCGCCCGAUACUGCAGGGCUUGAGGGAGACAGAGGUAAGCGGAACUGAUGGUGGAGCGGUGAAAUGCGUUGAUAUCAUCAGGAACGCCGGUGGCGAAAGCGGCUUACUGGGUCUCUUCUGACGCUGAGGUACGAAAGCUAGGGGAGCGAAGGGGAUUAGAUACCCCCGUAGUCCUAGCCGUAAACUCUGAGCACUUGAUCGUGGGCCCCCCCAUAGGCUCUCGGUCGUAGCGAAAGUGUUAAGUGCUCCGCCUGGGGAGUAUGGUCGCAAGGCCGAAACUCAAAGAAAUUGACGGGGGCUCACACAAGCGGUGGAG